UGGGGAAUAUUGCACAAUGGGCGCAAGCCUGAUGCAGCGACGCCGCGUGAGGGAUGACGGCCUUCGGGUUGUAAACCUCUGUUAGCAGGGAAGAAGAGAAAUUGACGGUACCUGCAGAGAAAGCGCCGGCUAACUACGUGCCAGCAGCCGCGGUAAUACGUAGGGCGCGAGCGUUGUCCGGAAUUAUUGGGCGUAAAGAGCUUGUAGGCGGUUUGUCGCGUCUGUUGUGAAAGGCCGGGGCUUAACCCCGUGUAUUGCAGUGGGUACGGGCAGACUAGAGUGCAGUAGGGGAGACUGGAACUCCUGGUGUAGCGGUGGAAUGCGCAGAUAUCAGGAAGAACACCGAUGGCGAAGGCAGGUCUCUGGGCUGUAACUGACGCUGAGAAGCGAAAGCAUGGGGAGCGAACAGGAUUAGAUACCCUGGUAGUCCAUGCCGUAAACGUUGGGCACUAGGUGUGGGGGACAUUCCACGUUUUCCGCGCCGUAGCUAACGCAUUAAGUGCCCCGCCUGGGGAGUACGGCCGCAAGGCUA
Molecule: ribosomal RNA, 532 nt
Filed under: uncultured bacterium
Lineage: Bacteria
Description: bacterial SSU rRNA
Rfam family: Bacterial small subunit ribosomal RNA
Source: RNAcentral